GUCCACGCCGUAAACGAUGGGCACUAGGUGCUCCGGGGAGCGACCCUUGGAGUACCGGCGCUAACGCAUGAAGUGCCCCGCCUGGGGAGUACGGCCGCAAGGCUGAAACUCAAAGGAAUUGACGGGGCCCGCACAAGCGGUGGAGCAUGUGGUUUAAUUCGACGCAACGCGCAGAACCUUACCUAGGCUUGACAUGCACGGGAAAGCCGCUGGAAACAGUGGCCCCUCUUCGGAGCUCGUGCACAGGUGCUGCAUGGCUGUCGU
RNAcentral lists this ribosomal RNA (264 nucleotides) under uncultured bacterium. Its description in RNAcentral is "partial 16S ribosomal RNA". It matches the Rfam family "Bacterial small subunit ribosomal RNA", at positions 793 to 1055 of the family's 1533-position model. The record is from RNAcentral.